AGUGAACGCUGGCGGUAGGCCUAACACAUGCAAGUCGAACGGCAGCACAGUAAGAGCUUGCUCUUACGGGUGGCGAGUGGCGGACGGGUGAGGAAUACAUCGGAAUCUACUUUUUCGUGGGGGAUAACGUAGGGAAACUUACGCUAAUACCGCAUACGACCUACGGGUGAAAGCAGGGGAUCUUCGGACCUUGCGCGAUUGAAUGAGCCGCUGUCGGAUUAGCUAGUUGGCGGGGUAAAGGCCCACCAAGGCGACGAUCCGUAGCUGGUCUGAGAGGAUGAUCAGCCACACUGGAACUGAGACACGGUCCAGACUCCUACGGGAGGCAGCAGUGGGGAAUAUUGGACAAUGGGCGCAAGCCUGAUCCAGCCAUACCGCGUGGGUGAAGAAGGCCUUCGGGUUGUAAGGCCCUUUUGUUGGGAAAGAAAUCCAGCCGGCUAAUACCUGGUUGGGAUGACGGUACCCAAAGAAUAAGCACCGGCUAACUUCGUG
RNAcentral lists this ribosomal RNA (492 nucleotides) under uncultured bacterium. RNAcentral describes it as "partial 16S ribosomal RNA". It matches the Rfam family "Bacterial small subunit ribosomal RNA", at positions 29 to 507 of the family's 1533-position model. The record is from RNAcentral.